This is a long non-coding RNA of Gadus morhua (Atlantic cod), 1031 nucleotides long. RefSeq lists it as uncharacterized. The transcript has 3 exons. NCBI's taxonomy places the organism in Eukaryota, Metazoa, Chordata, Actinopteri, Gadiformes, Gadidae. The record is from RefSeq and is a predicted model, not a curated record.
CGGUUAUUUCCUUGUUCCUUUAAGCAUAAAAGCAGUGGAGAACAGCAGGGCAUCAAACAUUGAGAGAAGCCAUUACCAGCGUCAUUGAGGAAAGAUGAAGCUGAGCCUAUGCCUCCUCCUGUUCCUCACCGUGCUGGCUUCAGCCCCGGUGGAGACACUUCUGAGCGUGACCUUGAGCCAUGCAAACGGCCUCCGUGGGGACGGCUGGUUCGGUAGGACUGACGGCUACGUCAAGGUGACCGCUGGAGGGACCACUCGCGAGACUCGCACCAUCCGGAACAACAACGACCCGUACUGGGGGCAAACUCUAAGUUUUGCUUCGCAGUUCCAGAUGACCUCCCUGAGCCUGCAGGUUUGGGACAGUGACAGCGGGUUUAGAGGCAGAGAUGAUUAUUUGGGAGGUUGCAGAGUUCCUAUAGUGAGAUCGUUUCGGAGCCGGUCACAUAGCUGCAGAAUUGGUUGGAGAGGAAGGGUUUUCUUCUCUUACAGGUACCCCUCAGCCCUAUAUCGCAACCUCGCUGUUGCAAAUUCUACACUCCCAGUUCCAACUGAGAUAACUACACCAGUGCCAUUAACGCAUACCUAGUAUGUGUUUGCUUUGUCAUCUCUCGGUUUUGGCUGGAGUUUUCAUUCAUGUCAUUAAUUGCUAUUUGAUCGAAAUAAUAAACUACAUUUGGCGGUGUUGGGGGUUAUGAAAGCUAUUUGAUGAUUUGGUGAUAGCAGCAACAAUUGUAAUUGUAGAAAAAGUUGAGAAUGUGCUUUAAGGAAUCACUGCAAUGGUAAUCUGAAAGAGUGCUAAUCUAAGAUUUGGGGAUUUCUGUAUUUCCUGAGAACCUCUGUCUGUGUUACAUGAUGAGAAUAUAAUCCACUGUAAUCAAAAGAUCUAACCCUGUCUUUCUUAUUAUAGCAACUGUUAUUCAGUGCUCUGAUUAAUAAAAUGUAGAAUUGAUUGCAAAUGCCCUUUUCUUCUAUUUCCUAAAUAACGAUCGAUCAAACCUGAUGAUGAAAUAAAGUUUUUAUCCAAAAAAUAA